Molecule: ribosomal RNA, 352 nt
Filed under: uncultured bacterium
Lineage: Bacteria
Description: bacterial SSU rRNA
Rfam family: Bacterial small subunit ribosomal RNA
Source: RNAcentral
GACGAACGCUGGCGGCGUGCUUAACACAUGCAAGUCGAGCGGUAAGGCCCUUUCGGGGGUACACGAGCGGCGAACGGGUGAGUAACACGUGGGUGACCUGCCCUCAGCUCUGGGAUAAGCCCGGGAAACUGGGUCUAAUACCGGAUAUGACUCCAUGACGCAUGUUGUGGGGUGGAAAGCCUUGUGCGGCUGAGGAUGGGCCCGCGGCCUAUCAGCUUGUUGGUGGGGUGANGGCCUACCAAGGCGACGACGGGUAGCCGGCCUGAGAGGGCGACCGGCCACACUGGGACUGAGACACGGCCCAGACUCCUACGGGAGGCAACGAGUGGGGAAGUCUUGUCGCAAUAGGGCG